UACGUAGGCAGCAAGCGUUGUUCGGAAUUACUGGGCGUAAAGAGUGUGUAGGCGGUGUUCUAAGUCUGUUGUGAAAUCUCCCGGCUUAACUGGGGAACUGCGUCUGAUACUGGAUGGCUAGAGUGUGGGAGAGGGAUGCGGAAUUCCCAGUGUAGAGGUGAAAUUCGUAGAUAUUGGGAAGAACACCGAUGGCGAAGGCAGCCAUCUGGACCGACACUGACGCUGAGGCGCGAAAGCGUGGGGAGCAAACAGGG
RNAcentral lists this ribosomal RNA (254 nucleotides) under uncultured bacterium. RNAcentral describes it as "partial 16S ribosomal RNA". It matches the Rfam family "Bacterial small subunit ribosomal RNA", at positions 524 to 777 of the family's 1533-position model. The record is from RNAcentral.